This 279-nucleotide ribosomal RNA is filed under the name uncultured bacterium. Its description in RNAcentral is "partial 16S ribosomal RNA". It matches the Rfam family "Bacterial small subunit ribosomal RNA", at positions 506 to 784 of the family's 1533-position model. The record is from RNAcentral.
UGCCAGCAGCCGCGGUAAGACGAACCGUACGAACGUUAUUCGGAAUUAUUGGGCGUAAAGCGCGUGUAGGCGGUCUGUUAAGUCUGAUGUGAAAGCCCGGGGCUCAACCCCGGAAGUGCAUUGGAUACUGGCAGACUUGAGUACGGGAGAGGGAAGUGGAAUUCCGAGUGUAGGAGUGAAAUCCGUAGAUAUUCGGAGGAACACCAGUGGCGAAGGCGGCUUUCUGGACCGAUACUGACGCUGAGACGCGAAAGCGUGGGGAGCAAACAGGAUUAGAUA